RNAcentral lists this ribosomal RNA (273 nucleotides) under uncultured bacterium. RNAcentral describes it as "partial 16S ribosomal RNA". It matches the Rfam family "Bacterial small subunit ribosomal RNA", at positions 524 to 796 of the family's 1533-position model. The record is from RNAcentral.
UACGGAGGGCGCGAGCGUUGUUCGGAAUCACUGGGCGUAAAGCGCGCGUAGGCGGUUACGUAAGUCGAUUGUGAAAGCCCGAGGCUCAACUUCGGGACGCCAGUCGAUACUGCGUGACUAGAGCAUGGUAGAGGCAAGUGGAAUUCCCGGUGUAGCGGUGGAAUGCGUAGAUAUCGGGAAGAACACCAGUGGCGAAGGCGACUUGCUGGGCCAUUGCUGACGCUGAGGUGCGAAAGCGUGGGGAGCAAACAGGAUUAGAAACCCGAGUAGUCC